This is a non-coding RNA of Oryza glumipatula, 206 nucleotides long. NCBI's taxonomy places the organism in Eukaryota, Viridiplantae, Streptophyta, Magnoliopsida, Poales, Poaceae. The record is from Rfam.
GUUAAAUGUAACCAUGAGUUUCCGCACCCAACUUUGAUCAUCCGUCUUAUUUGAAUUUUUGUUAUAAUUAAUAUUUUUGUUGUUAUGAUAUGAUAAAACAUGAAUAAUACUUUAUUCGUGACUUAUGUUUUUAAUUUUUUUUCAAAAAAAUUUUAAAUAAGACGGACAAUCAAAGUUAGGCACGAAAAAUCAUAGCUACAUUUAAA